RNAcentral lists this transfer RNA (75 nucleotides) under Lyciasalamandra atifi. RNAcentral's name for it is "tRNA-Leu". It matches the Rfam family "tRNA". From Rfam's summary of the family: Transfer RNA (tRNA) molecules are approximately 80 nucleotides in length. Lineage: Eukaryota; Metazoa; Chordata; Amphibia; Caudata; Salamandridae. The record is from RNAcentral.
GUUAAGAUGGCAGAGCCCGGUAAUUGCAAAAGACCUAAGCCCUUUCAAUCAGAGGUUCAACUCCUCUUCUUAACU